UAGAUGGUAAGCGAGUCAUGUGGG
This 24-nucleotide unclassified non-coding RNA is filed under the name Mus musculus (house mouse). RNAcentral's name for it is "oocyte_clustered_small_RNA5470". Lineage: Eukaryota; Metazoa; Chordata; Mammalia; Rodentia; Muridae. The record is from RNAcentral.